UGGGGAAUUUUGGACAAUGGGCGAAAGCCUGAUCCAGCAAUGCCGCGUGUGUGAAGAAGGCCUUCGGGUUGUAAAGCACUUUUGUCCGGAAAGAAAUGGCUCUGGUUAAUACCUGGGGUCGAUGACGGUACCGGAAGAAUAAGGACCGGCUAACUACGUGCCAGCAGCCGCGGUAAUACGUAGGGUCCAAGCGUUAAUCGGAAUUACUGGGCGUAAAGCGUGCGCAGGCGGUUGUGCAAGACCGAUGUGAAAUCCCCGAGCUUAACUUGGGAAUUGCAUUGGUGACUGCACGGCUAGAGUGUGUCAGAGGGGGGUAGAAUUCCACGUGUAGCAGUGAAAUGCGUAGAGAUGUGGAGGAAUACCGAUGGCGAAGGCAGCCCCCUGGGAUAACACUGACGCUCCAUGCACGAAAGCGUGGGGAGCAAACAGGAUUAGAUACCCUGGUAGUCCACGCCCUAAACGAUGUCAACUAGUUGUUGGGAUUCAUUUCCUUAGUAACGUAGCUAACGCGUGAAGUUGACCGCCUGGGGAGUACGGUCGCAAGAUUAAAAGCUUAAAGGG
Molecule: ribosomal RNA, 561 nt
Filed under: uncultured bacterium
Lineage: Bacteria
Description: partial 16S ribosomal RNA
Rfam family: Bacterial small subunit ribosomal RNA
Source: RNAcentral